This 680-nucleotide ribosomal RNA is filed under the name Eudyptes sclateri (Erect-crested penguin). Its description in RNAcentral is "partial 12S ribosomal RNA". It matches the Rfam family "Bacterial small subunit ribosomal RNA", at positions 526 to 1495 of the family's 1533-position model. The record is from RNAcentral. Lineage: Eukaryota; Metazoa; Chordata; Aves; Sphenisciformes; Spheniscidae.
CACAAGAAACCCAAAUUAACUGUAGUACGGCGUAAAGAGUGGUACCAUGCUAUCCCAACAACUAAGAUCAAAGUGCAACUAAGCCGUCAUAAGCCCAAGAUGCAUCUAAAAACACCCUCAAGACGAUCUUAGCACCUCCGACUAAUUAAAUCCCACGAAAGCUAGGGCACAAACUGGGAUUAGAUACCCCACUAUGCCUAGCCCUAAAUCUUGAUACUCCCUCCCACUAAAGUAUCCGCCCGAGAACUACGAGCACAAACGCUUAAAACUCUAAGGACUUGGCGGUGCCCCAGAUCCACCUAGAGGAGCCUGUUCUGUAAUCGAUAACCCACGAUACACCCAACCCCCCCUUGCCAAAACAGCCUAUAUACCGCCGUCGCCAGCCCACCUCCCCUGAGAGUCUAACAGUGAGCGAAAUAGCCCCACCCCGCUAGCAAGACAGGUCAAGGUAUAGCCUAUGGGGCGGAAGAAAUGGGCUACAUUUUCUAAGAUAGACAACUUCACGGAAAGGGACAUGAAACCGUCCCCAGAAGGCGGAUUUAGCAGUAAAGCGGGAUAAUAAAGCCCCCUUUAAACCGGCCCUGAGGCACGUACAUACCGCCCGUCACCCUCCUCACAAGCUAUAUACAUGCGUAACUAACUCCUACUCACCAGCUGAAGACGAGGUAAGUCGUAACAAG